GUUUUUUUAGGGCUGCACCUGCAGCAUAAGGAAGUUCCCAGGCUAGGGAUCGAAACAGAGCUGCAGCUGCCAGACUAUGCCAUAGCCACAGCAAUUCCAGAUCCGAGCCGUGACUGCAACCUACACCACAGCUCACGGCAAUGCCAAACUUAACCCACUGAGAGGGGCCAGCGACCGAAACCGCAUCUCCAUGGAUAUUAAUUGGGUUCAUUAACCACUGAGCCACAACAGUAAUUCCAAAGAAACACUUUUGAGCAGAGCAUAGUUGAUCUUAGGAGUUAGAUCAAUAAAACCACAGGGAGUUUCAUGAUGUUGUUGAGGGUAGAAAUCUGAUUAUAUUUCUCCAAAGCAGGGAGGUGGGAUGUGAACAUAAACUUUGCGAAAGACACUAUCCCAGGCAUUUUACAUCUAUGAUCUAACUAUAGCUAUAUCGUAUCAACAAAGCCAUGGACUAUGUAUGAUUAUUUCCUUCUAUUAUCAUUUGCAGGUUGAACUUAGUAAUGUGGAAGAAAUAUACCUUAUCCAAAGUGAUUUUGUUAAUCAAGUUCCAGAAAACCUCAUCUAUAAGGCAGAAAUCCUUUGGAAUGCACCCCAAGGCUUAGGACUAUUGCUCCAUUGAAUUACAAGGACGUGAACCCAUGAAUCUCUUAAGUCAGUUUAUUAUAGUGGCCAAACCUUCUUGAAAUACAUCAACGACUGUGAGGUGUGCUAGGUCAAAUCGAAAUAUCUCACAGAAGAAAAUAUAAUAGCAAAUCCUUCAGUCAAAUAUACUAAUGGCCUUCUUUCUUAAAAAAAAGAAAAAGAAAAAAAGGAGUUCCCAUCAUGGUUCAGUGGAAACUAAUCCGACUAGGAACCAUGAGGUUGCAAGUUUGAUCCCUGGCCUUGCUCAGUGGGCUAAGGAUCUGGCGUUGCUGUGAGCUGUGGUGUAGGUCACAGACUUGGCUGGGAUCCUGCAUUGCUAUGACUGUGGUGUAGGCCAGCAGCUUUAGCUCUGAUUUGACACCUAGCCUGGGAACCUCCUAUGCGGUGGGUGCGGACCUAAAAAGCAAAAUAAAUAAAUAAAUAAAUAUUUUUUUAAAAAAAAGAAAAGAGGAACCCUUUCUAUAACCAUGGAACCCAGCAAGCAAACACCAUGAACUUGCUCUGCCAGGGAGAAGACAUGAUGAACUCCAGCUCAGAAUCAUAUUGAAUCAGGUUCAAUUCAGGACAUAAAAUGAAAUGAAAAGCCCAAACUAAUUAGAUUGUAAUGAGCAGUUCAUAUGCCUUAUGUCGUUUUAUCACGUGCAGUAGGUGCUGUAUCCCUACAGUGAAUGACUUCAAGCAAGUCAUCAGCUUGUACUGUGUUCAAGAAUGCUAAUCAGAAGAAAGAGGAUUUUUUAUGACAUGCUUGAAGAAAACAAGAUUGAUUGUAGCUUCUUGAUCAUAGCAGUGCCUGUGGAAUGGCUUUAUCUCUAUUAAACUUCACUUGCAUUUCUAGAAAGCAUCGAGUGUCCUAAUGAGAAAGGCAGAAAUAAAGGAGUUCAUUAGUACAAAAUUGCUAAAGUUGAAAUGUCGUGUAACUAGUUGGGAGCUGAUAUUCUGAAGAAUAUUCAGAGUCUGGGUCAGAAACUCAAAUGUCAGUCACCAGUACCAUUUUGGUUUCCUCAGCCUCUGCUUCCCACAUCUCAACUACCACAUUAGCUUUCGGUGAAUUCCCAAUUCUGAGGCCAAAACCAAUUUUAUUUAAUAUCUCAUAGUGUUAGGGGAUGAUUGACCAAAACUGUCCACCUUGGCCAAGCACAGCAAUAACUGCUUGUGUAGGUUGUCUCACAGCAGGAGGUCCUGAUAAGGAACCUGAAGACUAACCAAGAGGAUUUGGGAGGGUUCAAUGGGAGGGAGGAGAAAACCAAGCUCCCAGGAUCCUUGGCACUGGAAUCCACAUUGGCUGAGAGGUAUGUGCCACCAAGAAGGACCCUAGGCCAGACCAAGUAUGGGCUGAGCAAGAUGAUUGGCCAGAGACAACCAGGAAACUAAUUCCAUUCCCAUAAAACAGGAGACUGUGAGCCAUGUGGCAGAGUGUGGCUUCUGGGUUCCCUUACCCUGCUCUUCUCUGCCUGGGCACUCCUUCCCUAUAA
RNAcentral lists this long non-coding RNA (2114 nucleotides) under Sus scrofa (pig). Its description in RNAcentral is "lncRNA (ENSSSCG00025035016.1)". Lineage: Eukaryota; Metazoa; Chordata; Mammalia; Artiodactyla; Suidae. The record is from RNAcentral.